GAUGAACGCUGGCGGCGUGCCUAAUACAUGCAAGUCGAGCGAACAGACGAGGAGCUUGCUCCUCUGACGUUAGCGGCGGACGGGUGAGUAACACGUGGAUAACCUACCUAUAAGACUGGGAUAACUUCGGGAAACCGGAGCUAAUACCGGAUAAUAUAUUGAACCGCAUGGUUCAAUAGUGAAAGACGGUUUUGCUGUCACUUAUAGAUGGAUCCGCGCCGCAUUAGCUAGUUGGUAAGGUAACGGCUUACCAAGGCAACGAUGCGUAGCCGACCUGAGAGGGGGAUCGGCCACACUGGAACUGAGACACGGAUCAGACUACUACUGGAAGGAGCAGUCGGGAAUCUUUCGGAAUAGGAGAAAAGCUCACCGAGCAAAGGCGGGUGAGAGAUGAAGGUCAUCGGAUCGGAAAACUGUGUUAUUAGGGAAGAACAAAUGUGUAAGUAACUAUGCACGUCUUGACGGUACCUAAUCAGAAAGCCACGGCUAACUACGUG
This 497-nucleotide ribosomal RNA is filed under the name uncultured bacterium. RNAcentral's name for it is "partial 16S ribosomal RNA". It matches the Rfam family "Bacterial small subunit ribosomal RNA", at positions 28 to 507 of the family's 1533-position model. The record is from RNAcentral.